GAUGAACGCUGGCGGCGUGCCUAACACAUGCAAGUCGAGCGGAGUUUAUGUAGCGGAAGUUUUCGGACGGAAAGUAUAUAAACUUAGCGGCGGACGGGUGAGUAACGCGUGGGCAACCAACCUUGAUCAGGGGGACAACAUUGGGAAACCAGUGCUAAUACCGCAUAUCUCUAUCUUGUGGCAUCAUGAGAUAGAGAAAGAUUUUAUCGGAUCAAGACGGGCCCGCGUCUGAUUAGCUAGUUGGUGGGGUAACGGCCCACCAAGGCGAUGAUCAGUAGCCGACCUGAGAGGGUGACCGGCCACACUGGAACUGAGACACGGUCCAGACUCCUACGGGAGGCAGCAGUGGGGAAUAUUGCACAAUGGGGGAAACCCUGAUGCAGCAACGCCGCGUGAGCGAUGAAGGCCUUCGGGUCGUAAAGCUCUGUCCUAUGGGAAGAAGAAGUGACGGUACCAUAGGAGGAAGCCCCGGCUAACUACGUG
This 483-nucleotide ribosomal RNA is filed under the name uncultured organism. Its description in RNAcentral is "bacterial SSU rRNA". It matches the Rfam family "Bacterial small subunit ribosomal RNA", at positions 28 to 507 of the family's 1533-position model. The record is from RNAcentral.